Small nuclear RNA from Suncus etruscus (white-toothed pygmy shrew), 102 nucleotides. Lineage: Eukaryota; Metazoa; Chordata; Mammalia; Eulipotyphla; Soricidae. The record is from RefSeq and is a predicted model, not a curated record.
UUGCUUUGGCAGCUCAUAUACUAAAAUUAAAAUGAUUUAGAGAAGAUUAUCCUGGUUCUGUGAAAGGAUGACAUAUAAAUUCAUGAAGAAUUUCAUAUUAAG